AUUGGUGAAAUCCUUAACAGGCCAGUGGGAGUAUGGGGGAAAAUCGUGGGCUCACUUUGCGCAAUUGCUGGUGUGCUUACCAUAGCCCUUCCCGUACCUGUGAUUGUCUCAAAC
Non-coding RNA from Daphnia pulex (common water flea), 114 nucleotides. Lineage: Eukaryota; Metazoa; Arthropoda; Branchiopoda; Diplostraca; Daphniidae. The record is from Rfam.